RNAcentral lists this ribosomal RNA (301 nucleotides) under uncultured bacterium. Its description in RNAcentral is "partial 16S ribosomal RNA". It matches the Rfam family "Bacterial small subunit ribosomal RNA", at positions 509 to 807 of the family's 1533-position model. The record is from RNAcentral.
CAGCCGCCGCGGGAAUACGGAGGGAGCUAGCGUUGUUCGGAAUUACUGGGCGUAAAGCGCGCGUAGGCGGUUACUCAAGUCAGAGGUGAAAGCCCGGGGCUCAACCCCGGAACUGCCUUUGAAACUAGGUGACUAGAAUCUUGGAGAGGUCAGUGGAAUUCCGAGUGUAGAGGUGAAAUUCGUAGAUAUUCGGAAGAACACCAGUGGCGAAGGCGACUGACUGGACAAGUAUUGACGCUGAGGUGCGAAAGCGUGGGGAGCAAACAGGAUUAGAUACCCCCGUAGUCCCUGUCUCUUAUAC